This 427-nucleotide ribosomal RNA is filed under the name uncultured archaeon. RNAcentral describes it as "bacterial SSU rRNA". It matches the Rfam family "Archaeal small subunit ribosomal RNA", at positions 44 to 473 of the family's 1478-position model. The record is from RNAcentral.
UUAAGCCAUGCGAGUCGAACGAGUUUAGGCUCGUGGCGUACGGCCCAGUAACACGUGGAUAACCUACCCUUAGGACCGGGAUAACCUUGGGAAACUGAGGAUAAUACUGGAUAGGCAAUUAUUUCUGCAAUGGUUUUUUGUUUAAAUGUUUUUUCGCCUAAGGAUGGGUCUGCGGCCGAUUAGGUAGUUGGUUAGGUAAAGGCUUACCAAGCCGUUGAUCGGUACGGGUUGUGAGAGCAAGAGCCCGGAGAUGGAACCUGAGACAAGGUUCCAGGCCCUACGGGGUGCAGCAGGCGCGAAACCUCCGCAAUGUGAGAAAUCGCGACGGGGGGAUCCCAAGUGCCAUUCUUAACGGGAUGGCUUUUCAUUAGUGUAAAGAGCUUUUGGAAUAAGGGCUGGGCAAGACCGGUGCCAGCCGCCGCGGUAA